This 8815-nucleotide long non-coding RNA is filed under the name Homo sapiens (human). Its description in RNAcentral is "non-protein coding lnc-BRF2-2:1". The record is from RNAcentral. Lineage: Eukaryota; Metazoa; Chordata; Mammalia; Primates; Hominidae.
ACCCGCGAACCUGGAAAUGGAGCCUAGGGGCUGAGGUUUUGCGCGCCUGGUUCCAAGGGCCACUCCCCGUGUGCUCUCCUCUUUCCUGCGCCUCAGCCGCUGCCGUCCCCCCACCCCCAAGGGACUUUUGUGAGGCAGAAACGCAUCCUAUACUCGGGGGAUCCUGUUUCCUUUCAAAACGCCUUUCCAGGCUUGCCCGUUCCCGGCUUUCUGGGCGCGGGGACCAGAAUUAGAAGCCACUGGGGCGGGAGCCAGGGCUUUUCUCUGUCAGAUGGUUCUUGCGAGGAACCCCUAAGCGAUACGAAAGGAAACUCUUCUUUCUUCUUUUCCCUAAAGACAUGGCGUGAUUCAAACGUAUCGUGAUUUUUGUCAUCUUUCAGACCACUGCUGUCCAAGAGAAAUAUAACGCCAUCCAACUGUGUAAUUUGGAAGUUUCUCAUAGGCACAUAAGCUUAAAAAUUUUAAUGAUAUACUUUAUUUAAUCCAAUAUAUCCAAAGUAAGAUUUCAACAUGCAAUCAAUAGAAAAACUAAAUGCGAUAUUUUAAUUCUUUUGAAAAUCGUAUGUGUUUCUGAAACCCGGUGUAGUGUUGACUUGCAUAUGUCUCAAUUCGGGCCAUCCCUAUUUCGAGAGGUUAGCGGCCACCUGCGGCCAGUGCUGUCUCAUCAGGGGACACAGGCAGCAUGAUUAUUACUAUUAUUAUUAUUGAGACAGUCUCGCUCUGUCACCCAGGCUGGAGUGCGGUGGCCCGAUCUGGGCUCACUGCAACCUCCACCUCCCGGGUUCAAGCGAUUCUCCUGCCUCAGCCUCCCCAGUAGCUGGGACUACAGGUGCGAGCCACCGCGCCCAGCCCACAGGCAGCUUUAGAUGGUCUAGCAGGAGCUCAGCACAUUCAGUUAGAUUCUUUUUUUGAGAUGGGGUCUCGCUAUGUUGCCCAGAUUAUCUGGGACUCGUGGGCCCAAGCAAUCCUCCCACCUCCGCCUCACAGAAUAGCUGGGACUACAAACGGGCACCACAACGCCCUGAGUUUGAUUCUUGAGUCCCCUUCUGUGGGCAAUAUGGUUAUAAACUUGAUGAGGAGCCAGGCCAUACAAAUAAUAAUACAGAAUGCUACAUAGUCAGGUGGUGAAAUAGUAGGUGCUACGGGCAAGGAGAAGGAGAUCAAUUUUGUUAAGGAAAGCACUCUUGGCUGCAAUUUCUGUUGAAAGUUUCUCAAACAUUAAUUCAACUUAAUGAAGUGGGAUGCUAUUAUAUUAGAGAAAUGGCUAAUGUUUGUUCUUCAGGUGGUCUUGUCUUGAGGUGAUGGGGUUUAUUAGAGCUUUCCGGAAAGAAGGGGCAAUAUUCUUACUCUCUCCUCUCACAGUUUUUCCCCAGACUCCCAGGAACAGAGAUGGAAUUUCACAUCUUCUGCUCUGGGAAAGUCACAUUAGGCAGAACCUCAGAUCCUUAAAAUAAGGGACUUCUUUUUGGGAAGUCUCUGGUCAUUUACCCUGGUACACAUUAACUGGGUUAUCUGCAAACUAGGACUGCCAACAUUAGGAGUAAUUGUGUUCAGAUAAAAUGUCUCUAGACUUGAUACAUCUGUACUCCAACCAAAAUGAUAAAAAAAUUUAAAAUGACCAGAAUGGCCCUUUGUGGUGUGAGCAUAAUAGAUGCUUGCUGUAGAGACACAGGUGGGAAGGAGCGAGCCAGCAGUGAGUGAUGGGGAGGACAGAGGGGAUCAUGGUGAUGGGAUGUGUAGAGGAAGGAUUGGGUGAGAUGAAACACUUCAAAUAAUGUGCUAUUUGGAAAACAUUUUAAAACCAUAAAUACCUCACAGAUCUAGGGAAUGUAUAAUCCAGGUGUUACGUCACUAUGACAACAAGUAGUUGUAGCUUCAUUUACUAGAUUGGGCCUCUAUUCUUUUUUGUGUUUUUUGAGACGAAGUCUUGCUCUGUCACUCAAGCUGGAGUGCAGUGACGCGAUCUCGGCUCACUGCAACCUCUGCCUCCUGGGUGCAAGUGAUUCUCCUGCCUGAGCCUCCCGAGUAGCUGGGACUACAGGCGUGCAUCACCACGCCCGCCUAAUUUUUGUAUUUUUAGUACAGAUGGGGUUUCACUAUGUUAGCCAGGUUGGUCUCGAACUCCUGACCUUGUGAUCCACCCGCCUCGGCCUCCCAAAGUGCUGGGAUUACAGUCGUGGGCCACCGUGCCCAGCCAGGGACCUCUAUUCUUUGAACUACAAGGCAAGGUCAUCCUCCCACCCCCUUAUCCAUUCAGUGAACAUUUACUGAGGCGUUACUCUGUAAAGAACCCUGAGAGAGACCAGGCUGAGUAAGACAGGCUUUACUGCCGAUUUACUUCCAAUAUGCUCGCUUUUCAUCUCUGACAUUCUGUGGUCUUAUGAAAAUGGAAAUGGAGACAAAAAGAUCAUGGUGCCCCCAGUCCCAUGGUCAUUUCACAUUCCAAUUUCUUCUUAGUUGUACUUUUGAAUUAAUUUUAUUUCACUUUGUCCCUUUUUUUCCUUAUUUGCUUUUUUAAUUUCUUCUCUUCCUCUUCCUGGGACAUCAACCAUCCAAUUUAACCUUUCAUCCUCCCCUACUACCUAAUCCUUGAAAAAUACAAGUCCAAAAUCAUUUCAUCACCAGUAAUUGUCUUUAAAUUGCUCCAAUAAUUUGCAAGGACCAAGGGGAAAAGAGAAAGAUUAAAAAGCCAAAUGCCCAGAGAAACAGAUUUUAUAAAUAAUCUAAAAUCUAGUAUACUUAUUCACCAUCAAUGCCAUCAAGCUUUUAAAACACCCUCAUAGUCUGGAAUAAAUCCAAAUUAUGAGAAAAACAUAUAUGGAUUUAAAAAUUGUUUCCUUCUGAGCCUACUGUGAGUCUUUUAGGGGGAUAAAAAAGUAAAAAGUAAAAUAGAAAAUUACUGUUGCCUGGUUACUUAGCUCUAAAGAGAAACGGAGAAAUAAUGCCCAUGUCCCAUCCCAGUUUAAAUGAAUUCAGGUAGAGUAGCCCAUGACAGCAAGCCCUUGGCACACAUGCCAUCACAUCUGGCCUUUGAAAUGUCUAUAGAGAUAGUAGAACCCUAGACCUAGGGAAGACUUAGGGAGGUUUCAUACAGAAAGAAUGACAUUUAAACCAUCCCAAACAGCACAGAGUCUUCACAAUUUCUGAAGACCAUCAGAGAAGAAUAUUUAUUUUCUAUUUGCAAGUAACUACUCCUCCCCAUUUGAAAAUUUAGCAAGCCUGAUCUUAAGUAAAUUCUUUACAAAUCCUCCUUUAUUCAAGUGAAUUUCCUCUUUUUAGCUACCAGUAUGUAACUUUUAUAAUCGUGAAGUCAUUAAAUGUCCCUUCUGCCUUUUCUGGCAUCAACCUAUGAGCUUUAUUUCUUAAUUACUUUUUUUUUCUUUUUGGUUUUAACAUUUUCUUUCUAGCUUCUUCAAAUUUUUUUCAUUUUUAAAAUUGGAGACCAGAACUGGACAGUUCCUCUCAACAGGGCCAAAUCAGAUUCUUUUCUUUUUUUUGGAGAUAGAGUUUUGCUCUUGUUGCCCAGGCUGGAGUGCAGUGGCGUGAUUUUGGCUCACUGCAUCCUCUACCUCCCAGGUUCAAGUGAUUCUCCUGCCUUAGCCUCCCAAGUAGCUGGGAUUUCAGGCAUGCACCACCAUGCCCGGUUAAUUUUCUAUUUUUAGUCGAGAUGGGGUUUCUCUAUGUUGGUCAGGCUGGUCUUGAACUCCCGACCUCAGGUGAUCCACCCACCUCAGCCUCCCAAAGUGCUAGGAUUACAGGUGUGAACCACCGUGCCUGGCUUCUUUUCUUUUCUUUUCUUUCUUUAAACCAGGUUAUUUUCUACACAACAUUUUUGUAGAGGUAUGUAUCCUCAAUACUGUGUUUGCUGCAUUGCAAUGUCAUUCCCUUCUUCUAUGUGCUAUCCCAUUUGUAAUCUUAUUCCAUUUUUUUUCACGUGUUUGGCUUUCUACUUAGUGGCUCCCAUUUAAUAGCUGUAUGUUUUUUAGCCCGUUUCUCCAGAUUGAAGUUUUUGAAUACAUACAUGCAAGGUACAGUGUGAAAGCCCUUCGUAUGCAUUAUUUCAUAUAAGCCAUGCAACUCAUUUUAUUAAUGAAGAAACUGAGGCUUAGAGAGGUCAAAAAACUUAUUCAAGACCACACACCUAAGAAGUAGUAGAGCAGUGAUUUGAACUUUGGCAGUCUAACUGCAGUAACUACACUCUUAACAUAACUAUUCAAUUGUUAAGAUCAUAUUAUUUGUGUAGCAGGCUCUCAAACCAAUAGAAAAAGCUUGGGAUCCCUGUUAAAAAAAACCUGAGAAAGCCUGGGCUAGGGUUGCCGGACUUAACAAGUAAAAAUACAGGAUACCCAGUUAAAUAUGAAUUACACAUAAGCAACAAAUACUUUGGUAUGAGUAUGUCUCAUGCAGUGUUUAGGACACAUAGUACUUAGACUAAAAAUUGUACAUUGUUGAAAUUCAUAUUUAACUAGGUAUCUUAUGUUUUAUCUGGCAACCCUAAGCUGGGCAGCUUUCCAGAGUAAAGACUGGGAGUUCGUCCACUGAACUGAUAUCAAAAUGAAUUUUGGUUCACUUGAAAAUAUCUUUGUCCUUUGGAGCAGAAUUGCAGUGGUGUGUGAACUGUUUAAAAUGAUAAAUCUCUAUAGCACCUACCAAGAAUUAUGCCACGUUCACAAAUUCUGUAUCGAUAAUGGGGAUAGAUUUUCAUCUGUUUAUUUUUAGAGAGAUCUUGUACUUAACUCACUAGUCUGGGAUGUUUUAUUUAUGUCACCUAAUAUUAACUAUUGCUAAAUUUCACUUUAAUAAAAAAGUAGAUACAAAGACUCAUUUUACUUAGCAAGACUGCAAAUAAAACUAAGACAUAAAUUCACAUGUUAGUAUUGUCCAAAACAAUUCCUCCAGCUAUCAACCCACGGCAAUCAAUCCAGCAGUAUCAUUUAUAGAAUGAUUACUAAAACAAGAAUCAUUUCUCAGUUACAAAUGGGGUCAUUAAGCCCUUGGGGCUCUUUGAAAGUAGAAGUAGUUUGCCUACUUAAUCAUCAGUCUACACAAAGGCAGAAAUAAAAAGGAAUGGAAAUACAAACACAAAAUGAUUGGUUAUUACCUGUUUUAUAAGGAAACAAGAAAAAAAAAACAGUGGCUAGAAACAACAAAAAAGCAGUGGCUGGAACCCUACUGAAUAGAGCUUAAAGAAGUACUGGUUACAUUCACAGACACAGUAGCCACUAGCCAAGAUAUAGUUUAUCUCCAUCAAACUUAAAUAGAUAAAGUCAGUAAGUAUGACCAUCUUACUUUCACUAUUUACGCUCUUUAAAUAGUAAAGGUAUCGGUUUGAAAGAUACAUAGAACCAUAGGAACAGUGAAUGAUCAUUUAUAAAACAGCUCCUUUUCCUGAAUCAAUAUAUUGCUAAAAUUCUUUCAGUAACCCUCCCUUUUUAUAUGAUCACAGAUCCCUCCACAUCUAUUUUAUUUUAGUUAUAUAAAAAUUAUUAAUAAACUUUGGUUUCCUUGCAUUCGGUCCUUAUAUUUUAAAAAGUGAUUAAAAACAGUACUGAAUAUGAAUCACUUCUGCAAAGUUUAAUGAGUGAGAAACAUUCAACCAAGGUGAUUUUUCCUUGGAAAACCCUACAAAAACUGAAUUUUAUAAACAGUUACUUAUUUUGAUAGAUGUUCCAUUUAUAAAUAGCAGCCAUUACUUCACUGUCUACAAAAUUGCAGGCUGUCACAUUUUACAUGUUUAGAAUUCAAAUGUUUUAAGAUUAGAUUUUCUAGUAAGAGUUAAAAUAAAAACAAAGUUACACAGACAGGUUAGUUGUCCUAUGCAAAUAAAACAGCUGAUUUUCAUGAUUUUGCUAUUUAGACAGAUAAGAGACAACCAUUGGAUUGACACUAAUGUGUAGGAUAACAUAUUUUUUGUUUAAAGAGGAAAUGAUAGAAACUUGGGGUGGGGCAGCUGCAGCAGGACUUGACUCUACUGAGGCUCUUCUGUGCUCAUGGGACAAGCUAUCGCAGGAUGUUAGUACCGGAGAGGCCCUCAAGUUAAGACCUGAGCAAAGUGUGCUAUUCAGAGAAGCUGAGCUAUCCCUGCUCCCGGUUCUACUGUGGUGAAUUGGUGUUUUCUGAGGUCUAGGCAACAAGAGCUCAGAGUAGAAGGAGUAGACAUUUUCGGGAAGUGGGAUGCUGGGCAUGUCAUGUUGCUCUAACAAGUGAUUAAUAGCACGGAAAUGGGAGGAAGAUGAAUGUAUUUUAAAUGGAUACUCCCUAUGCUAGUCUUGGGAAAUGACCUUCUUUUCUUGAGACGGAGCCUUGCUCUAUUGCCCAAGCUAGAGUGGGAUGGCAUGAUCUUGGCUCACUGCAACCUCUGCCUCCCGAGUUCAAGCAAUUCUCCUGCCUCAGCCUCCCAAGUAGCUGGGAUUACAGGUGCCUGACACCAUGCCCGGCUAAUAUUUCUAUUUUUCGUAGAGAUGGGGUUUCGCAUGUUGGCCAGGGUGGUCUCGAACUCCUAACCUCAGGUGAUCCGCCUGCCUUGGCCUCCCAAAGUGCUGGGAUUACAGGUGUGAGCCACCGCGCCCGGCCAAGGGAAAUGACCACCUUCUGAAAGGACUCUGGAGCACAUUAAAAUCCAUCACUCCCAGGCACAUUUUGUUGCCUGCAAAAAGUGUGCCCAGGACCAGAAGUCCCAGGAGUCAGAACAGAGAAGGGCAACUUUGAAGUAAGGGGAGCUAACACUGUAUCUUUCUAGGCAGGCUCAAUGCUCCCAAAACUUCUGAGCAAGCUGGCCCAAGCUCUGGGACCAUUCCUUAAACCAGAAGUCUGGGCAUGGGCCCAAAAAGAAGGCAGGGAUUGCUGCCAGAAAGGACCAUUCACAGAUUCACCUAGGGAAGAUGGGUAUAGGAGUUGGCGGGGGGGGGGGGUGGGGGGUGGGGGGUGGGGGUCAGCUCAUAACAGGGCCAAGUCCUAAGCCAGAGGUGGUCAUGGAGGGCACCAAUAUGCUUGCAAGUUAACUCCAGAUAGCUGCCCUCCACUUAAUUCUAGACACAACCCAUGGGCUAUACAGGUUGGACACCCCCUACCCCUCAAUCUCAGGAUAUAAGAAAAACCUUUUGUUCAAAUUUGCUCUCCCCAUCCUGAAUCUCCCAAGGUGACUCAAAAUGUUCUGACCUAGUAAUGAAAAAGAAAACCCUUUGAAUGGAUUUUGGCACAGCCAUUCCAACCUGGGGACUUGGGCAUGAACUCUGAUUUGCUCCACACAGCUGUCUCUGGAGACUGAAUGUUCAGCCUGACUUGCGUUGCUGCCUGCAGCCCUGGAUUUAAAAACACAGGCUACUUAGUGAAUAGAGUCCUUUUAUCACUAAGUCAGACCCACUCCCAGCACAAGCCACAGGCAUUAAGACCAGGACAUCUCUUGACUGAUCGUUCCUCCUCCUCCACACAUGGUGUCAGACCUCUUCACUACAGAAUCUCUACAAUAAUAGAAAGACACUUCAUCUCGAGGUGCACACAUAACCUGUCAGGCAGGUCCUGCAGUGGCUAAGAGAUAACAAGGAUCCCACUCCAGCAGCUGUUAAGACACUUGAGUUGUUUGUCCCUGUCUUCUUGAUGCUGAGUGGAACCAAUGAACAGAAUUUUUGAGAAGAAAAAAAAAAAACAAAUCACAGCAUAGGUGAAAAGAUGCCGAAAUAAUUGAGUUGUGGUGAUCAAGCUCUGACUCUAGAAAUGUAGUCAGAAACCACCACUCUGAGCCCUAGGGCAAGGAGCAAAGUGUAUACAAAAUCUUGCAAAACCUAGCACCAGUACUUCCUUAUGAGGGCUCAAGAAAGCACACCUCUAAAAUAACUCACACACAUGCAGACAAGAAUGCCAGGAAGGUCAAAUGUUCUCUGCAGCUGUUUCUUCACAGCUCUACUGGCAAACUCACAGGCACAUAUUUGCUCAGUUGCUGAGCCUCACCCACAGACAUCUCCUACCUUGGAGGCAGAGGUGAGAACACUGGACUGCAUUUUCCCAAGUAAGGGAAAUCAAAUGAGUUGGAGGUAACACUCUACAUUUCUCCCUCUCCUUAAUGACAGCAUCCCUAAUUAAGCCAGCCUCAAAGGAUAAAAUUAGUGUCUAGAGGUCAAAGGUCAAGCCCAUGAUUUACAAAUCUUAUUGGAAGUCAUAUAAACUGCUUACCUGAAAUAAAACCCCCCAUCAUCAGUCCCCACCCUCCUUUCCCUAGAAAGGGAGUGGAUUUAAGUUCAUUUCUUCUUUUUCACCACAGUAACUGGAAGACAGUCAGAGAAGGUAGUCGGGGAGGGAGGAACAUUCUGAUUCAUCUUAAAAAAUAAAGAUCUGCUUAAGUAUCAUUUGCAGUCAUAUCAAGUUUUUUUCAAUUCUCCUUAGUGGCCGUCUCCAAGGGUUCAUCUUCUAAGCCAAAGCUUAGCUUGUCAGCUAGCCCCUCAAACUGCUUGCUCACACUGCCCGCAGAGUCCAUGAACAUGUUAGGAAUGUCUUUGCCAAAGUAAAUCUUGCUGUUGGAAGCAAUGGCCUUGUACUUCAUCAGCUGCAGAUAUUCAGGGGUUAGCUUCAGCUGUUAAAAAAAAAAAAAGUAUGGAAGACUUAUGUUGAACCAUAUUAGAGAAGGAGGGGAGUGGUGCCCCUUCAAUUUUCCUAUAUUUAUGCCCCUACCUACUUUUUGUGGUCUCAUUGUUACAUUUCUGUAAGAGACAGUCAUCUCAGAUCUUGGAGCAUAGGUGCAAAAGUUAAAAGUUUCCAUGUUUAACACAAAAUUAAACUAAACUUCUAUCAAGGCAUGUCCAAGGAGAAGGAAAGUACCUGC